GAUCAACGCUGGCGGCGUGCCUAAUGCAUGCAAGUCGCACGAACGUCCUUCGGGGCGUUAGUGGCGAACGGCUGAGGAACACGUGCGUACCUGCCUGUUCGUGGGGAAUACCGGGUGGAAACACCCGCUAAUACCGCGUACGCUCAUCUUCGAUGAGGAAAGCCUUCGGGCGCGGACAGUGGGGCGCGCGGCCCAUCAGGUUGAUGGUGUGGUAAUGGCGCACCAUGCCGAUGACGGGUCGCCGGUCUGAGAGGACGGCCAGCCAGACUGGGACUGCGACACGGCCCAGACACCUACGGGUGGCAGCAGCAAGGAAUCUUCCGCAAUGGGCGCAAGCCUGACGGAGCAACGCCGCGUGGAGGACGACGGCCUUCGGGUUGUAAACUCCUUUUCUCAGGGACGAAACGGACGGUACCUGGGGAAUCAGCCCCGGCUAACUACGUGCCAGCAGCCGCGGUAAUACGUAGGGCGCAAGCGUUAUCCGGAAUUAUUGGGCGUAAAGAGCUCGUAGGCGGUUUGUCGCGUCUGCCGUGAAAGUCCGGGGCUCAACUCCGGAUCUGCGGUGGGUACGGGCAGACUAGAGUGAUGUAGGGGAGACUGGAAUUCCUGGUGUAGCGGUGAAAUGCGCAGAUAUCAGGAGGAACACCGAUGGCGAAGGCAGGUCUCUGGGCAUUAACUGACGCUGAGGAGCGAAAGCAUGGGGAGCGAACAGGAUUAGAUACCCUGGUAGUCCAUGCCGUAAACGUUGGGCACUAGGUGUGGGGGACAUUCCACGUUUUCCGCGCCGUAGCUAACGCAUUAAGUGCCCCGCCUGGGGAGUAC
This 822-nucleotide ribosomal RNA is filed under the name uncultured Microbacterium sp. RNAcentral's name for it is "bacterial SSU rRNA". It matches the Rfam family "Bacterial small subunit ribosomal RNA", at positions 28 to 883 of the family's 1533-position model. Lineage: Bacteria; Bacillati; Actinomycetota; Actinomycetes; Micrococcales; Microbacteriaceae. The record is from RNAcentral.